This 1236-nucleotide ribosomal RNA is filed under the name metagenome. RNAcentral describes it as "SSU rRNA". It matches the Rfam family "Eukaryotic small subunit ribosomal RNA", at positions 530 to 1789 of the family's 1831-position model. The record is from RNAcentral.
ACACUUAUCGAGGAUCUAUUGGAGGGCAAGUCUGGUGCCAGCAGCCGCGGUAAUUCCAGCUCCAAUAGCGUAUAUUAAAGUUGUUGCAGUUAAAAAGCUCGUAGUUGGACUUGGGAGUUUCGGAUGGGGCGUACCGAAAGGUACGUAUACCUACUCUGAGGCUCUUCCUUUCAGGGUACUUGUGUGUGCUUAACCGCACGGGCAAGGAACUUGGAUUAUUUACUUUGAGAAAAUUAUGGUGUUCAAAGCAGGCUUUUGCCUUGAGUAUAUUAGCAUGGAAUAAUGGAAUAGGACAUUGGUUUUUCUAUUUUGUUGGUUUCUAGGACCGAUGUAAUGAUUAAUAGGGAUAGUUGGGGGCAUUAAUAUUUGAUUGCUAGAGGUGAAAUUCUUGGAUUUAUCAAAGAUUAACUUUUGCGAAAGCAUCUGCCAAGGAUGUUUUCAUUAAUCAAGAACGAAAGUUAGGGGAUCGAAGACGAUCAGAUACCGUCGUAGUCUUAACCAUAAACUAUGCCGACUAGGGAUUGGUGGAAUGUUUUAAAACGCCAUCAGCACCUUUCGAGAAAUCAAAGUUUUUGGGUUCCGGGGGGAGUAUGGUCGCAAGGCUGAAACUUAAAGGAAUUGACGGAAGGGCACCACCAGGAGUGGAGCUUGCGGCUUAAUUUGACCAACACGGGAAAACUCACCAGGUCCAGACAUAUGAAGGAUUGACAGAUUGAGAGCUCUUUCUUGAUUCUAUGGGUGGUGGUGCAUGGCCGUUCUUAGUUGGUGGAGUGAUCUGUCUGGUUAAUUCCGAUAACGAACGAGACCUUAACCUACUAAAUAGUUAUUUGAAUCACUGAUUCAAAGAAUACUUCUUAGAGGGACUAGCUGCAUCCAGCAGCUGGAAGUUUGAGGCAAUAACAGGUCUGUGAUGCCCUUAGAUGUCCUGGGCCGCACGCGUGCUACACUGACGAAUUCAAGGAGUUGCAUACCUUUGUCGAAAGGCAAUUUGGGUAAUCUUUGAAAUUUCGUCGUGCUGGGGAUAGAUUAUUGCAAUUGUUAAUCUUGAACGAGGAAUUCCUAGUAAGUGCGACUCAACAAGUCGCGUUGAUUACGUCCCUGCCCUUUGUACACACCGCCCGUCGCUCCUACCGAUGGAUGGUCAGGUGAGCUCCGCGGACGGGAACUCGUGAUGCCGAAAGGUUGAUGAGCAUUCUGGAAGUGGAGCAAACCUUAUUAUCUAGAGGAAGGAAAAGU